RNAcentral lists this ribosomal RNA (477 nucleotides) under uncultured bacterium. RNAcentral's name for it is "bacterial SSU rRNA". It matches the Rfam family "Bacterial small subunit ribosomal RNA", at positions 31 to 507 of the family's 1533-position model. The record is from RNAcentral.
GAACGCUAGCGGCAGGCUUAACACAUGCAAGUCGAGGGGUAGAAGCAGCUUGCUGCUUUGAGACCGGCGCACGGGUGCGUAACGCGUAUACAAUCUACCUUUUACAGAGGGAUAGCCCAGAGAAAUUUGGAUUAAUACCUCAUAGUAUUUUCGAAUCGCAUGAUUUGAUUAUUAAAGUUCCAACGGUAAAAGAUGAGUAUGCGUCCCAUUAGCUAGAUGGUAAGGUAACGGCUUACCAUGGCUACGAUGGGUAGGGGUCCUGAGAGGGAGAUCCCCCACACUGGUACUGAGACACGGACCAGACUCCUACGGGAGGCAGCAGUGAGGAAUAUUGGACAAUGGGCGCAAGCCUGAUCCAGCCAUGCCGCGUGCAGGAAGACGGUCCUAUGGAUUGUAAACUGCUUUUAUACAGGAAGAAACACCUCUACGUGUAGAGACUUGACGGUACUGUAUGAAUAAGCAUCGGCUAACUCCGUG